Molecule: long non-coding RNA, 331 nt
Filed under: Elaeis guineensis (African oil palm)
Lineage: Eukaryota; Viridiplantae; Streptophyta; Magnoliopsida; Arecales; Arecaceae
Description: long non-coding RNA (EGUI_LNC018670)
Source: RNAcentral
CCCCCCAAAUGAUUACUAAUUUUUUCAUGAACUUUUCGAAGGGCAUAAUUAGUUUCUGACUAUCGCAAGCAUCGAAAUAAUGAAAAUAAAUAUGAUCCAAUCAUAUUGAGUAACAUACCAUGGAGCUUAUCUUUUAAUCCUCCUUGCUUCCAUAGGAUUGACUAGUAAAACAUCCUUAGUAAUAUAAUCCAUCAAUGGAUCAAUCCAACUAGGCUCGUGAUCGAUUUGUACAAUCGAUCAAGUUUCUAUAUUGGGCCUUUUAAGAAUAUCAAUGAGAACUUUUUGAUUCAAUUUGAAAAAACUUGACGUAGUAAAAUGUGAGAGAGCAUCA